AUUGAACGCUGGCGGCAUGCUUUACACAUGCAAGUCGAACGGCAGCGCGGGCUUCGGCCUGCCGGCGAGUGGCGAACGGGUGAGUAAUGCAUCGGAACGUGCCCAGUAGUGGGGGAUAGCCCGGCGAAAGCCGGAUUAAUACCGCAUACGACCUGAGGGUGAAGGCGGGGGACCGAAAGGCCUCGCGCUAUUGGAGCGGCCGAUGUCGGAUUAGCUAGUUGGUGGGGUAAAGGCUUACCAAGGCGACGAUCCGUAGCUGGUCUGAGAGGACGACCAGCCACACUGGGACUGAGACACGGCCCAGACUCCUACGGGAGGCAGCAGUGGGGAAUUUUGGACAAUGGGGGCAACCCUGAUCCAGCCAUGCCGCGUGCGGGAAGAAGGCCUUCGGGUUGUAAACCGCUUUUGUUCGGGAAGAAAUCCUCUGGGCUAAUACCCCGGGGGGAUGACGGUACCGGAAGAAUAAGCACCGGCUAACUACGUG
This 484-nucleotide ribosomal RNA is filed under the name uncultured bacterium. RNAcentral describes it as "partial 16S ribosomal RNA". It matches the Rfam family "Bacterial small subunit ribosomal RNA", at positions 28 to 507 of the family's 1533-position model. The record is from RNAcentral.